RNAcentral lists this ribosomal RNA (400 nucleotides) under Mesabolivar luteus. RNAcentral describes it as "partial 16S ribosomal RNA". It matches the Rfam family "Archaeal large subunit ribosomal RNA", at positions 1956 to 2668 of the family's 2987-position model. The record is from RNAcentral. Lineage: Eukaryota; Metazoa; Arthropoda; Arachnida; Araneae; Pholcidae.
GCUCAAUGUAUUUUCAUAAAUAGCCGCAGUUUACUGUGCUAAGGUAGCAUAAUCACUAGCUUUCUAAUUAAAAGAUAGAAUGAAAGGUUAUAUACGAUAUAAACUGUUUCUAAACAAAAUAAAUAAUUUAAAAAAAAAGUAAAAAUUCUUUUAAUUUUAAGAAAGACGAUAAGACCCUAAUAAACUUUACAUUUAGCUGGGGCGGCGUAUAAAACAAACCUUAAUAUAUUUUAUUUAUAAACCUAAUAAAUUUAAUUUUAUUAAAGUUACUAUAGGGAUAACAGCGCUAUCUUUUUUUAAAGUCCAUAUAUAAAAAAAGCCUUACGACCUCGAUGUUGAAUUAAUUUUACUAAUUAGCGCAAAAGCCAAUUAAGUUAGUCUGUUCGACUACUGAAAAAUU